RNAcentral lists this long non-coding RNA (1423 nucleotides) under Equus asinus (donkey). RNAcentral's name for it is "lncRNA (ENSEASG00005034655.1)". The record is from RNAcentral. Lineage: Eukaryota; Metazoa; Chordata; Mammalia; Perissodactyla; Equidae.
GGCCGCACUGCUGCUCCCUUGUGGUCGUCGCUGUCGUCUUGUGGGAGGCUAGUCCGCUCGCUCGCGCAGCUGUCUGACGGUCGGUCGGUGUGUCGGUCCGCCCGGGGCCUGUCUGCGGGCCUUCUCCGCGCACGCCCUCUCCGGGCAGCUGAGCCCGGCCCGUCCCGGCCCCGCGCGCGUCCCCGGGCGGAGUGUGGGGCAGCUGCGUGGGGCGCGGGGGAUGCGGCGCGAGCGCAGCCUGGGGCUGGGGGCGCCUGCCGAGCCUGCCUGACCCCGACAGGCUGCUGUCCCUGAGCCCCAGGAGCAGCACCCGCUCCUCUGGGCCUGGCCUGGGGCCCGGGAGGCUGCAGAGGUGCCCACGCCUCCAGGGGACGCUGCCGAGGGGCGCCAUGGAGACCCCUGCCGCGAAACCCCAGGAGACAGAUCUCUGCUCAAACUCCGAUUCACAUACCUGGCUGUGUACCUGGCGCUUCCACUUGGAUAUCUAAGACUCUUCACCUUCGAUGUCUAAAGUGACUCCCGCCCUCUCCGCAGACCUCGUUCCUCUGCGCUGUUUCCCAUCUCAACAAGUGAUCAUUCCUUUCUUCCAGCUGCUUAGUCCAAAAAUCUUGGAGUACUUCUUGACUCUCCUGUUUUCUCACAUCCCACAUUUGAUUCAUUCUCAAACCCUGUUGGCUCUCCUUUCACAGUGUAUCCAGGUUCUGAGCCUUCUCAGUUCUCCCCUGCUCGGCACUGUCCCUCCCUGGAUUGUUGGAACAGCCCCUCCGCCGUCUCCCUGCUUCUACUUGUCCCACCGCCGACCUGCUCUCCACACAGUACUGGACCAUCCUGGUACAGGGUGGGCCAGACCACGUCCCCUGCCUGCUGUGAAUCCUCCGUGGACUCCUGUCCCCAGAGUGGAAGCCGAGGUCUCACCAUGCACGGCCUCUGAGGUCCUGUGCCAUCUGAUCCCCAGUUGUGAGUUCCAGCUCCAUCUCCUCUCCCUCCCUCCCCCAACGUCACUGGUCACACUGGCAUCUGCUGUAUCUGGAACUAGGCACGCUCCAGGUGCUAGUCCCUCUGUCGGAGAUGCUUUCUCCCAGAUAUCCACGUGGCUGGCUUCCUCGCUCUUUGUGACCUUCUCAUAAGGAAGCCUUUUCUGGACAUCGUCUCUAAGAUUGUAGCCCUUCCUUGCUUUAUUUUUCUCCUUAUCUCUUCAGUGUCUGUAUUAAUUAUCUAUUCCUGCAUAAUAAAUUACCCUGAAUUUUAGAGACUUAAAGCAACAAUAAACAUUUUUUAUUUCACGGCACUUUCGUGGGUCAGGAAUUUGUGAGCAGCUGCUCUUGUGCUUCUAGCUUGAGUCUCAUGAAGCUGCGGUCAGGCUGUCGGCCAGCACUGCAGACAUCCAAAGGCUCGACUGGGGCUGGGGAAUGUGCUUCCAAGA